UACGUAGGGUGCGAGCGUUAGUCGGAAUUACUGGGCGUAAAGCGUGCGCAGGCGGCUUUGCAAGACAGAUGUGAAAUCCCCGGGCUCAACCUGGGAACUGCAUUUGUGACUGCAAGGCUAGAGUACGGCAGAGGGGGAUGGAAUUCCGCGUGUAGCAGUGAAAUGCGUAGAUAUGCGGAGGAACACCGAUGGCGAAGGCAAUCCCCUGGGCCUGUACUGACGCUCAUGCACGAAAGCGUGGGGAGCAAACAGG
Molecule: ribosomal RNA, 253 nt
Filed under: uncultured bacterium
Lineage: Bacteria
Description: partial 16S ribosomal RNA
Rfam family: Bacterial small subunit ribosomal RNA
Source: RNAcentral